This 504-nucleotide long non-coding RNA is filed under the name Capsicum annuum. Its description in RNAcentral is "long non-coding RNA (CANN_LNC010309)". The record is from RNAcentral. Lineage: Eukaryota; Viridiplantae; Streptophyta; Magnoliopsida; Solanales; Solanaceae.
GGGAACUGGAGCACUCAGAGGAGUGUUGGGAUUUUAGCUAUUGUAGACGUUUUAAGGUAGAAGAGGUUAGACAAGCUGUCCGCAAGAUGCGAAGGGGUAGGGCGACGGGGCCGGAUGAGAUACCGGUGGAGUUUUGGAAGUUCGUUGGAGAGGCUGGUGUAAGGUGGUUGACUGGAUUGUUUAAUGAAAUCUUCAGGACGGCAAAGAUGCCUGAGGCGUGGAGGUGGAGUACCAUGGUCCCUCUCUAUAAGAAUAAGGGGGACAUUCAGAGUUGCAAUAACUAUAGGGGGAUUAAGUUAUUGAGUCACUCUAUGAAGAUCUGGGAGAGAGUGGUCGAGGUGAGGCUGAGACGGAUAGUGUCUAUUUCGGAAAACCAGUUUGGAUUUAUGCCCGGUCGCUCGACGACGGAGGCAAUCCACCUGGUACGGAGGUUGGUGGAACAGUAUAGGGAAAGGAAGAAGGAUCUGCACAUGGUGUUCAUCGACCUGGAAAAGGCGUACGACA